RNAcentral lists this small RNA (416 nucleotides) under Vigna angularis var. angularis. Its description in RNAcentral is "Non-protein coding transcript". The record is from RNAcentral. Lineage: Eukaryota; Viridiplantae; Streptophyta; Magnoliopsida; Fabales; Fabaceae.
GGACAUUAGCAGAAGAAUCUACCUGCAAAUUAGACAAAAGAGCUUCAUGGCUAUGAAGAUGGUGAUGAUGCUGACAAAAAAAUGGACAUGGUGAUGAUGAUGAUCUUGGGAUGAUGUUAUUAGAGGAUUACACAUGGACUUUUGAAGACAUUUGUCUUUAUUUAGUUAUUGAAAAGUUAUCAUGUCAAGAACUUGUAUUUUAUUUGUGUUGUAUGAACUUGUGUUUUAUUUGAUGCUAUUUGAACUUAUAGUAGCAAUGUCCUACUGGACUUAAUUAUUUCCUUACUGAGGUUUAUUAUUUACUUCAUCAUGGGAUUGACAUGUUGAUUUAUUAUAAUAUUUAUAGACAUUUAAUAUUUUCUUUUAUGUGUAGUAAACUCUUACAAAUUGGGAGAGCUCUUACAAGUUUACGUAAA